RNAcentral lists this long non-coding RNA (469 nucleotides) under Gossypium barbadense (sea-island cotton). RNAcentral's name for it is "long non-coding RNA (GBAR_LNC013806)". Lineage: Eukaryota; Viridiplantae; Streptophyta; Magnoliopsida; Malvales; Malvaceae. The record is from RNAcentral.
AACGCCGCAACUGGUCUCCGCUGCGCUUUCGCCGAUCGGAGAUGCGACGCGAUGGGCUCUGAAGGUAAAUUUCUUCCCUUUGUUUUUGAUAAAAGAAAAUAAAAUAAAAUAAAAUAGGCUAAGUAAAUAAAACGCAAAUCACCUUUAAACAAAACUUUGUACUUUCAAUAUUUUUCCUUUUGUAUUUCUCUGUAUUUUUUUUAUUUCCUUUUUUUUUCUUUUUUUUACAGAUUUCAAAGGCUUUUAUAGCCCGAAAAAGAAAAACUAGAUCGCAUCUAUCUAUUAUUUUGCUAUUUUCUCUCUGUUGGACUCUUUGAAUAUGCUUCUUUGCAGGUGUUGUGCGCGCGAAUGACGUGCGUGGAGAGGAGUCGGCCCCGAGUCGUGCGGUGCUUGGAGAGGCUGCUGGAGGCGGGGGACUACUUGCGGCGCUGAAGCAGAGAGGCUAGGGUUUCUGCUUAGUUUUUUAAUU